This is a long non-coding RNA of Eriocheir sinensis (Chinese mitten crab), 787 nucleotides long. RefSeq lists it as uncharacterized. The record is from RefSeq and is a predicted model, not a curated record. The transcript is spliced from 2 exons. Lineage: Eukaryota; Metazoa; Arthropoda; Malacostraca; Decapoda; Varunidae.
GGGGAGAUGGAAGAGAAGGAGAGAGUGAGCUGUGUUAGAAUCUGAACAGAGGAGGAUGAACAACUUGCCAUACGAGGACAGACUUAAGAACCACAUUGCCGGGUGAUUUUCUCCCGACUCUCCUAGGUUACCACGUAGUUCAAUAUGAAGAAAGCGCGGGAACCAGCUGGCCGCCUGUGUACCCGCAGUGUUGUGUGAGACAUCGUGAAGGGUGGGUGUGCGCUCCGGCUCCGCGCCUGGAAUUUUCCACGGCGAGGGGAAAACCGUUAUUUCGGGAGAAUUUCUCCCGACGAUGUGGUGAACGUUAGACAUUUUACCCGGGUGAAAUUCUCCCGACGAUGUGUUUACCUGUAACUAUUAGUGAUAUCUUACGUGUGUUUCUUUUCAGAUAUUUAGUAAUUAUUACAGAUAAACAGAAAAUAUGGCUGCCCGAGGCAAAGUGCUGACUGAGGAGGAACUUGUGGAGACGAUGAACAAAUCUGGUUUCCUCUCAGUAAAUGAUAGCUCAGAUAUUACCUGUGGCAGUAGUGGGCUGCAACUGACUGAGGCGAGGGGCCAACUACCUAGUAACUAGUGUACCAAAGGAGAAGUCACCAGCUGCAGUACUUUUUUUUUGGAAAUUUUUUUCUAAACACUUUUUCAAAUUUAGUCAAAUUUAGGUUAUUCCUUAUUAAGGUCAAUAUCAAUAUUAAAAUAAAGUACAAUUUAAGUUUAUAAGUUUAUAAUCUAUAGUUUAAGAGUUCCUUUUUCACUGUAAAACUUGUAAUAAACCUUAAUUGAAAACUAC